This 689-nucleotide long non-coding RNA is filed under the name Nicotiana tabacum (common tobacco). RNAcentral describes it as "long non-coding RNA (NTAB_LNC012863)". Lineage: Eukaryota; Viridiplantae; Streptophyta; Magnoliopsida; Solanales; Solanaceae. The record is from RNAcentral.
GGCUAAAAGUAAUUAGAAUAAAUUUCAACAGUAGACUAAGUAAUUCCAUCGUCAGUCCUCACGCCCAAAUAUAGAAAGGCAAACAACGUAGAGUUACUUAUGUCAUGCAAAAUCUAAAUUAACAAAUUGGAGUUCCACAAAAUUCUCAUUUAUUUAACAAGUACAAUAAAAUUACAAACAUUGGCAUAGAAUUGUAAGGGGAACUCAACGAAUUCACAAGUACACAAUAUUAAUGCCUUGAGUGAAACACUUUUGUUGAUGACUUAGGUAGGGGCCGCGCGAACGCAGGCCCCCACUGCCACAAAUUAUGACGUAGGCUCGACCACUAGGGCCAACCUUAGGCGGGCACCCCUCCAAAGUGCAAUGGAGGUCACCAACCUAGGCCAUGGCUCUUAUUGAUCGCCCAUUGACCCUGUCCAGGUAAGUAUGUUCCCUUGAUGCUCCUCCCUAUGAUUUUAUAUCCCUCCAGCUCUUGGUUUUCCUUUGUGUUAGCCGAUAUGGGACAUCUUGUGCCUAAGCUAUCUUCUCUUUGAAUAGGAUAAGCAGUGUUUAGAUCCUAGUGAUACAAACUCAGUUCUUUUAAGUCCUCUAUUGCCAUUAUACUAACCAGUUUGGUGUAGCUAAUCUAUCUUUCAUACCAGAUGUCAAAACUUAUGGAAUUAUAGCAUUUGGUGCAAUCCCCUAACCAC